This 117-nucleotide ribosomal RNA is filed under the name Streptococcus pneumoniae. The record is from RNAcentral. Lineage: Bacteria; Bacillati; Bacillota; Bacilli; Lactobacillales; Streptococcaceae.
UGGUAAUGAUGGCAGAGAGGUCACACCCGUUCCCAUACCGAACACGGAAGUUAUAAGCUCUCUAGCGCCGAUGGUAGUUGGGACCUUGUCCCUGUGAGAGUAGGACGUUGCCAGGCA